Molecule: ribosomal RNA, 301 nt
Filed under: uncultured bacterium
Lineage: Bacteria
Description: partial 16S ribosomal RNA
Rfam family: Bacterial small subunit ribosomal RNA
Source: RNAcentral
CAGCCGCCGCGGUAAUACGAAGGGUGCAAGCGUUACUCGGAAUUACUGGGCGUAAAGCAUGCGUAGGCGGUGAGUUAAGUCUGCUGUGAAAUCCCCGGGCUCAACCUGGGAAUGGCAGUGGAUACUGGCUCGCUAGAGUGUGUCAGAGGAUGGUGGAAUUCCCGGUGUAGCGGUGAAAUGCGUAGAGAUCGGGAGGAACAUCAGUGGCGAAGGCGGCCAUCUGGGACAACACUGACGCUGAGGCACGAAAGCGUGGGGAGCAAACAGGAUUAGAGACCCCCGUAGUCCCUGUCUCUUAUAC